AGGGCGAACGCUGGCGGCGUGCUUAACACAUGCAAGUCGAGCGGAAAGGCCUUUCGGGGUACUCGAGCGGCGAACGGGUGAGUAACACGUGAGUAAUCUGCCCAUCGCUUCAGGAUAGCCAUCGGAAACGGUGAUUAAUACUGGAUAUGACAUUCCUUCGCAUGUUGGGGUGUGGAAAGUUUUUUCGGCGGUGGAUGUGCUCGCGGCCUAUCAGCUUGUUGGUGGGGUAAUGGCCUACCAAGGCUUUGACGGUAGCCGG
RNAcentral lists this ribosomal RNA (259 nucleotides) under uncultured soil bacterium. Its description in RNAcentral is "partial 16S ribosomal RNA". It matches the Rfam family "Bacterial small subunit ribosomal RNA", at positions 26 to 290 of the family's 1533-position model. The record is from RNAcentral.